RNAcentral lists this ribosomal RNA (505 nucleotides) under uncultured bacterium. RNAcentral describes it as "bacterial SSU rRNA". It matches the Rfam family "Bacterial small subunit ribosomal RNA", at positions 8 to 507 of the family's 1533-position model. The record is from RNAcentral.
AGAGUUUGAUCAUGGCUCAGAUUGAACGCUGGCGGCAUGCUUUACACAUGCAAGUCGAACGGCAGCGCGGGGGCAACCCUGGCGGCGAGUGGCGAACGGGUGAGUAAUGCAUCGGAACGUAUCCUGUAAUGGGGGAUAACGUAGCGAAAGUUACGCUAAUACCGCAUACGCUCGAGAGAGGAAAGUGGGGGAUCGCAAGACCUCACGUUAUAGGAGCGGCCGAUGUCCGAUUAGCUAGUUGGUGGGGUAAAGGCCUACCAAGGCGACGAUCGGUAGCUGGUCUGAGAGGAUGAUCAGCCACACUGGGACUGAGACACGGCCCAGACUCCUACGGGAGGCAGCAGUGGGGAAUUUUGGACAAUGGGCGAAAGCCUGAUCCAGCCAUGCCGCGUGCGGGAAGAAGGCCUUCAGGUUGUAAACCGCUUUAGUCCGGGAAAAAGGGGUGCGAGGAUAAUACCCUCGUGCUUUGAUGGUACUGGAAGAAUAAGCACCGGCUAACUACGUG